This 606-nucleotide ribosomal RNA is filed under the name Triticum aestivum (bread wheat). RNAcentral describes it as "partial small subunit ribosomal RNA". Lineage: Eukaryota; Viridiplantae; Streptophyta; Magnoliopsida; Poales; Poaceae. The record is from RNAcentral.
AUGUCAACCAUGCCGAAUACGACUGCGCUGGCAACUUCGCUAGAGGGCAUGACAACCCAUGGCGGGCUCAUGUAUGCCGAUGCUCUUGAUUUGUCCACUGUUGACUUUACCGGGAUAGGAGGCCCUCCACCUGCACAUAAGUUUGUUGUCUGUGCAUGGACGGACGCUGCUGUCAAGGUUGUGCUUGCCGUAGACAGGAUAACCAAUACGAAAUAUGGAAAACUGCAGUCUGAUGCCAAGAAUGCUAUAGACUGCAGUGUGUUUGGUGGGCCACAAUACUUUGGCAAGUGGAUGGAUGUGCAUUCAACUCCAUCUUGUCCUACUAAGGGGAAGGCACUUGUUGAGCAUCUAGUUGGGCAGUUUGCCUCUGGCAUGACCAGCUUGCUCGGGAAGUUGGUUGAGGGUUGGACGACACUUAAUGGCUCCGACAGCGAUGCAGUUGCGAGGCAGUUCACAUCAUUCGUUGAAGAACGGACACAUCGACCAACUGGUUGCCGUGGCCGGUACAACUACAACAGCUCACAGGAGCUUCCCGACACGCAAGAUGAUCUAGAUGGAGACGCCGGUCUCGACAAGGACGAUGACGAUGACAUGGAGAAUGUGUAA